UCUCUGGUGGUCCAGUGGUUAAGACUCUGCUCUUCCAAUGCAAGGGGUGUGGGUUCGAUCCCUGGUCAGGGAA
This is a non-coding RNA of Bos taurus (domestic cattle), 73 nucleotides long. The record is from Rfam. Lineage: Eukaryota; Metazoa; Chordata; Mammalia; Artiodactyla; Bovidae.